Molecule: transfer RNA, 68 nt
Filed under: Pteroglossus azara flavirostris (yellow-billed aracari)
Lineage: Eukaryota; Metazoa; Chordata; Aves; Piciformes; Ramphastidae
Description: tRNA-Glu
Source: RNAcentral
GUUCCUGUAGUUGAAUACAACGGUGGUUUUUCAGAUCACAGGUCUCGGAUAAAGGCCGAGUUGGAAUU